RNAcentral lists this unclassified non-coding RNA (220 nucleotides) under Hevea brasiliensis (rubber tree). Lineage: Eukaryota; Viridiplantae; Streptophyta; Magnoliopsida; Malpighiales; Euphorbiaceae. The record is from RNAcentral.
GCUUUUGCUCUACUUAGUUUAGUGCAGGAUUUAAGUUGAAUAGUUAAGGGGAAAGGUAAAGAUUGUGGCUUUAUGCAUUCUCAUGGGUGCUGCACAGUUAAAACACUUGUAGGUUUAUAUACUUUAUCUUUGGUGUCUGAGUUUAGUUUUAACACUUUGUGAGGAAGUUAAAGAUUGUAGCUUUAUUUGCUUUUCUGAGGUGCUGAAUGGUUAGUACUUU